RNAcentral lists this ribosomal RNA (303 nucleotides) under Exanthemachrysis gayraliae. RNAcentral describes it as "partial Bacterial large subunit ribosomal RNA". It matches the Rfam family "Bacterial large subunit ribosomal RNA", at positions 2615 to 2912 of the family's 2925-position model. Lineage: Eukaryota; Haptophyta; Pavlovophyceae; Pavlovales; Pavlovaceae. The record is from RNAcentral.
AACGUCGUGAGACAGUUCGGUCCCUAUCUGCCGUGGACGUUGGAGAUUUGAGGAAAGCUGCUCCUAGUACGAGAGGACCGGAGUGGACGAACCUCUGGUGUUCGGGUUGUGACGCCAGUCGCAUUGCCCGGUAGCUAUGUUCGGACAGGAUAACCGCUGAAAGCAUCUAAGCGGGAAGCCCCUUCCAAGAUGAGAUCUCCCUGGACCCUCGAGGUCCCUGAAGAGCCGUUCAAGACCAGGACGUUGAUAGGUCGGGUGUGUAAGCGCUGCGAGGCGUUGAGCUAACCGAUACUAAUUGCUCGU